CCCUUAGAUGUUCUGGGCCACACGCGCGCUACACUGAUGCAUUCAACGAGUCUAAAACCUGCUCUGAUAGGGGUGGGUAAUCUUUUGAAUGUGCAUCGUGAUUGGGAUAGAUGAUUGCAAUUUUUCAUCUUCAACGAGGAAUGCCUAGUAAACGCAAGUCAUCAGCUUGCAUUGAUUACGUCCCUGCCCUUUGUACACACCGCCCGUCGCUCCUACCGAUUGAAUGAUCCGAUGAAUAUCAUGGAUUGAGGAUGUAAGCAGGUUCGCCUGUCUUCAUCUUCGAGAAGUGAAGUAAAUCUUAUCAUUUAGAGGAAGGAGAAGUCGUAACA
This 329-nucleotide ribosomal RNA is filed under the name uncultured eukaryote. RNAcentral's name for it is "partial 18S ribosomal RNA". It matches the Rfam family "Eukaryotic small subunit ribosomal RNA", at positions 1470 to 1796 of the family's 1831-position model. The record is from RNAcentral.